GUCUAUGGCCGUGCCACCCUGAACAAGCCCGAUGUCUGAUCUCGGAAGCUAAGCAGGGUCGGGCCUGGUUAGUACUUGGAUGGGAGACUACCUAGGAAGACCAGGUGCUGUAGGCA
RNAcentral lists this ribosomal RNA (116 nucleotides) under Pteropus alecto (black flying fox). Lineage: Eukaryota; Metazoa; Chordata; Mammalia; Chiroptera; Pteropodidae. The record is from RNAcentral.